GGGAGCGUGGCCGAGGGGUCUAAGGCGCUGGAUUUAGGCUCCAGUCUCUUCGGGGGCUUGGGUUCGAAACCCAUCGCUGCCA
RNAcentral lists this transfer RNA (82 nucleotides) under Danio rerio (zebrafish). It matches the Rfam family "tRNA". From Rfam's summary of the family: Transfer RNA (tRNA) molecules are approximately 80 nucleotides in length. Their secondary structure includes four short double-helical elements and three loops (D, anti-codon, and T loops). Lineage: Eukaryota; Metazoa; Chordata; Actinopteri; Cypriniformes; Danionidae. The record is from Rfam by way of RNAcentral.